This is a non-coding RNA of Peromyscus maniculatus bairdii (prairie deer mouse), 775 nucleotides long. The record is from RefSeq and is a predicted model, not a curated record. Lineage: Eukaryota; Metazoa; Chordata; Mammalia; Rodentia; Cricetidae.
ACCCCACCCACCUGAGAACAUAGCAGAUGCUUUCCUCUCCAGGCUUGUUUUCUAUUUCUAAGAUUCUUUCUUUAAUACUCAUCUUAGGUUGUUUUCAUAAUUCAAGGAGUCUUGAGGAAAACACAUGGCCUAAACUUGAUUAGCAUUAAUGCACCAACAAAUUUGACCUACACAACGGAAAGAAAAUUAUGACAUUUAAGUACAAAAAGACACAAUUGUGCAUUUAAAAACAAGAGGAAUUCUAUGAGCAAGGGGCAUCAAGAUCAUGAUGGGAAACCUACAGAGACAACCAAACCAAACUAGUGGGAACUCAUGAACCGUGGACCAACAGCUGUGGAGCCACCAUGGGACUGAACUAGGCCCUCUGCAUAGGUCUGAAUAGGAAUGGAGACACAGAAAGCUAGACAAUAUAUCAUAUCAGCCUUACAAAAUGGAAGUAGUUCAUGGUACAGAUGAAGCUUGGAGAAUGUGUGCAUACUUGCCUGUGGAUGCUGAGGGUAGAAAGCUGAAGCUGUCUUCCUGUACCCUUCUCUGCUUUUUGAAGUUGGGUUUCUCAAUGAACCUGGACAUUAUGUUUUUGAAAUAUGCAGCCCUCAACCCUCAUCAAGAUAACUUCUCUUUGCAGCUGAGGAGGACCAUUACAAAAAGAGCAUGCACUCAAAAUGCAAAGAUGUGGAGCCCCUUCCAAACACCCCCUCACCUAAAGCUUAGGGAAUAUUUUAGGGAUAGAGUCGAGUGGGGGUGGGAUGGCAGUAAAAUCAGAGGAUCAAAGACA